ACGAACGCUGGCGGCGUGCUUAACACAUGCAAGUCGAACGGAAAGGCCCUGCUUUUGUGGGGUGCUCGAGUGGCGAACGGGUGAGUAACACGUGAGUAACCUGCCCUUGACUUUGGGAUAACUUCAGGAAACUGGGGCUAAUACCGGAUAGGAGCUCCUGCUGCAUGGUGGGGGUUGGAAAGUUUCGGCGGUUGGGGAUGGACUCGCGGCUUAUCAGCUUGUUGGUGGGGUAGUGGCUUACCAAGGCUUUGACGGGUAGCCGGCCUGGGAGGGGGACCGGCCACAUUGGGACUGAGAUACGGCCCAGACUCCUACGGGAGGCAGCAGUGGGGAAUAUUGCACAAUGGGCGGAAGCCUGAUGCAGCAACGCCGCGUGCGGGAUGACGGCCUUCGGGUUGUAAACCGCUUUCGCCUGUGACGAAGCGUGAGUGACGGUAAUGGGUAAAGAAGCACCGGCUAACUACGUG
RNAcentral lists this ribosomal RNA (467 nucleotides) under uncultured bacterium. RNAcentral's name for it is "partial 16S ribosomal RNA". It matches the Rfam family "Bacterial small subunit ribosomal RNA", at positions 29 to 507 of the family's 1533-position model. The record is from RNAcentral.